GCCUGGGUAGCUCAGUGGUAGAGCAGCGCACUCGUAAUGCGCAGGCCGUGGGUUCGAUCCCCACCCCAGGCU
RNAcentral lists this transfer RNA (72 nucleotides) under Acidimicrobiales bacterium. Its description in RNAcentral is "tRNA-Thr". It matches the Rfam family "tRNA". Rfam says of the family: Transfer RNA (tRNA) molecules are approximately 80 nucleotides in length. RNAcentral also lists the same sequence under 1 other name. Lineage: Bacteria; Bacillati; Actinomycetota; Acidimicrobiia; Acidimicrobiales. The record is from RNAcentral.